CUACGGGACGCACCAGUCGGGGAUCUUUUGCAAUGCACGAAAGUGUGACAAAGCGAGCCAGAGUGUUUCUCUUAUUUGAGAAACUUUUAUCAGAUGUAAAAAGUCUGAUGAAUAAGGACUGGGCAAGACCGGUGCCAGCCGCCGCGGUAAUACCGGCGGUCCAAGUCGCAGCCACAAUUAUUGGGUCUAAAACAUCCGUAGCUUGUUUUGUAAGUUUCCUGUGAAAUCUCAUUUCUCAAGAAUGAGGCGUGCAAGAAAUACUGCAGAACUAGAGACCGGGAGAUGCAAGGAGUAUGGUUAGGGUAGUGGUAAAAUACGUUAAUCCUAAUUAGACUAACAAUGGCGAAGGCACCUUGCAAGCACGGAUCUGACAGUAAGGGAUGAAGGCUAGGGGCGCAAAACGGAUUAGAUACCCGAGUAGUC
RNAcentral lists this ribosomal RNA (423 nucleotides) under uncultured archaeon. RNAcentral describes it as "partial 16S ribosomal RNA". It matches the Rfam family "Archaeal small subunit ribosomal RNA", at positions 323 to 746 of the family's 1478-position model. The record is from RNAcentral.